RNAcentral lists this ribosomal RNA (245 nucleotides) under uncultured bacterium. RNAcentral describes it as "partial 16S ribosomal RNA". It matches the Rfam family "Bacterial small subunit ribosomal RNA", at positions 532 to 776 of the family's 1533-position model. The record is from RNAcentral.
GGGCAAGUGUUGUCCGGAUUUAUUGGGCGUAAAGAGCGUGUAGGCGGCUUUGCAAGUCCGUUGUGAAAACUCGAGGCUCAACCUCGAGACGCCGGUGGAAACUGCAAAGCUAGAGUCCGGAAGAGGAGAGUGGAAUUCCUGGUGUAGCGGUGAAAUGCGCAGAUAUCAGGAAGAACACCCGUGGCGAAGGCGGCUCUCUGGGACGGUACUGACGCUGAGACGCGAAAGCGUGGGGAGCGAGCAGG